UAGGGAAUCUUCCACAAUGGACGCAAGUCUGAUGGAGCAACGCCGCGUGAGUGAAGAAGGUCUUCGGAUCGUAAAGCUCUGUUGUUGGUGAAGAAGGAUAGAGGCAGUAACUGGUCUUUAUUUGACGGUAAUCAACCAGAAAGUCACGGCUAACUACGUGCCAGCAGCCGCGGUAAUACGUAGGUGGCAAGCGUUGUCCGGAUUUAUUGGGCGUAAAGCGAGCGCAGGCGGAAUGAUAAGUCUGAUGUGAAAGCCCACGGCUCAACCGUGGAACUGCAUCGGAAACUGUCAUUCUUGAGUGCAGAAGAGGAGAGUGGAACUCCAUGUGUAGCGGUGGAAUGCGUAGAUAUAUGGAAGAACACCAGUGGCGAAGGCGGCUCUCUGGUCUGCAACUGACGCUGAGGCUCGAAAGCAUGGGUAGCGAACAGGAUUAGAUACCCUGGUAGUCCAUGCCGUAAACGAUGAGCGCUAGGUGUUGGGGACUUUCCG
RNAcentral lists this ribosomal RNA (489 nucleotides) under uncultured bacterium. RNAcentral describes it as "partial 16S ribosomal RNA". It matches the Rfam family "Bacterial small subunit ribosomal RNA", at positions 355 to 836 of the family's 1533-position model. The record is from RNAcentral.